RNAcentral lists this ribosomal RNA (441 nucleotides) under uncultured bacterium. RNAcentral describes it as "partial 16S ribosomal RNA". It matches the Rfam family "Bacterial small subunit ribosomal RNA", at positions 338 to 795 of the family's 1533-position model. The record is from RNAcentral.
CCUACGGGUGGCAGCAGUGGGGAAUAUUGCACAAUGGGGGAAACUCUGAUGCAGCAACGCCGCGUGAGUGAGGAAGUAUUUCGGUAUGUAAAGCUCUAUCAGCAGGGAAUAGAAAAGAAGGUACCUGACAAAGCAGCCCCGGCUAACUACGUGCCAGUAGGCGCGGUCAUACGUAGGGGGCAAGCGGUAUCCGGGUUUACUGGGUGUAAAGGGAGCGUAGACGGAAAGGCAAGUCAGAAGUGAAAGCCCAAGGCUCAACCAUGGGACUGCUUUUGAAACUGUCAAACUAGAGUACGGGAGAGGUAGGCGGAAUUCCUAGUGUAGCGGUGAAAUGCGUAGAUAUUAGGAGGAACACCAGUGGCGAAGGCAGCUUACUGGACCGAAACUGACGUUGAGGCUCGAAAGCGUGGGGAGCAAACAGGAUUAGAUACCCUUGUAGUC